This 487-nucleotide ribosomal RNA is filed under the name uncultured bacterium. RNAcentral describes it as "bacterial SSU rRNA". It matches the Rfam family "Bacterial small subunit ribosomal RNA", at positions 501 to 988 of the family's 1533-position model. The record is from RNAcentral.
CUACGUGCCAGCAGCCGCGGUAAUACGGAAGGUCCAGGCGUUAUCCGGAUUUAUUGGGUUUAAAGGGAGCGUAGGCGGAUUGUUAAGUCAGCGGUUAAAGGGUGUGGCUCAACCAUGCAUUGCCGUUGAAACUGGCGAUCUUGAGUGCAGACAGGGAUGCCGGAAUUCCUGGUGUAGCGGUGAAAUGCGUAGAUAUCAGGAAGAACACCGGAGGCGAAGGCGGCUUACUGGACAAUAACUGACGUUGAGGCUCGAAAGCGUGGGGAUCAAACAGGAUUAGAUACCCUGGUAGUCCACGCUGUAAACGAUGAAUACUAGGUGUCGGGGUGCAAAGCAUCUCGGUGCCGUCGCUAACGCAAUAAGUAUUCCACCUGGGGAGUACGUUCGCAAGAAUGAAACUCAAAGGAAUUGACGGGGACCCGCACAAGCGGUGGAGCAUGUGGUUUAAUUCGACGCAACGCGAGGAACCUUACCAGCGUUUGACAUC